UAUACACAAUAGCAUGAUUUUUUAAUAUAAUUCAUUUUAUACAGUGUCUGAAAAAAGCAGUACUACUCGUCGGCCAGUAACUCCUAUCACAUCUGAUGAUGAUGACGCUGUGGAAGCAGGUCCAUCAAAAGAAGUAUGGAGCAGCAGAAGUGGCACUUCUGUAAGACAUCACCACAAAAAACCUGUGGCCGAAAAGAAAGCAAGGUCGUAUGUCCCGGCACAAACACAGCAGGCUACCCCGCCACGAAGAUUAUCGUCCGUAUGUUCUGUACCCCCACUCCAAAUUUUGGACACACCUCCAAGACGUCAUCCACACUCCCCUCAUCUUGAUUCUUCGAGUCCUGGGAACAGCAUCCCUCCACAACAACACCAACACAGUGACAUGGAGGA
This is a long non-coding RNA of Pseudophryne corroboree (corroboree frog), 390 nucleotides long. RefSeq lists it as uncharacterized. The record is from RefSeq and is a predicted model, not a curated record. Lineage: Eukaryota; Metazoa; Chordata; Amphibia; Anura; Myobatrachidae. The transcript has 3 exons.